CCUGUUUAACAAAAACAWGUCUUUUUGAGUUAUUUUUAAARUCUGACCUGCCCACUGAGUAUUUAAAUGGCCGCAGUAUACUAACUGUGCAAAGGUAGCAUAAUCAUUAGUCUUUUAAUUGAAGGCUGGUAUGAACGGUUGGACGAGGUAUAAGCUGUUUCAUAUAAAAUUUUAUUAGAAUUUUAUAUUUUAGUCAAAAAGCUAAAAUAUUAUUAAAAGACGAGAAGACCCUAUAAAUCUUUAUAUUUUACAUUGUUUAAAUUUUAUAGAUUUGUUUUAUUUUUAUAAUAUGAAAUAUUUUGUUGGGGUGAUGUUAAAAUUUAAUGAACUUUUAAUUAUUUAAAAUCAUUAAUUUAUGAAUUAUUGAUCCAUUAAUAGUGAUUAUAAGAUUAAGUUACUUUAGGGAUAACAGCGUAAUUUUUUUGGAGAGUUCAUAUCGAUAAAAAAGUUUGCGA
RNAcentral lists this ribosomal RNA (455 nucleotides) under Zeugodacus macrovittatus. Its description in RNAcentral is "partial large subunit ribosomal RNA". Lineage: Eukaryota; Metazoa; Arthropoda; Insecta; Diptera; Tephritidae. The record is from RNAcentral.